RNAcentral lists this ribosomal RNA (460 nucleotides) under uncultured bacterium. RNAcentral's name for it is "partial 16S ribosomal RNA". It matches the Rfam family "Bacterial small subunit ribosomal RNA", at positions 338 to 795 of the family's 1533-position model. The record is from RNAcentral.
CCUACGGGAGGCUGCAGUGAGGAAUAUUGGUCAAUGGGCUUACGCCUGAACCAGCCAAGUCGCGUGAGGGAAGACUGCCCUAUGGGUUGUAAACCUCUUUUGUCAGGGAGCAACGCCGGCUACGUGUAGCCGGACUGAGAGUACCUGAAGAAAAAGCAUCGGCUAACUCCGUGCCAGCAGCCGCGGUAAUACGGAGGAUGCGAGCGUUAUCCGGAUUGAUUGGGUUUAAAGGGUGCGUAGGCGGAAUGCCAAGUCAGCGGUAAAAUCGCGGGGCUCAACCUCGCUCCGCCGUUGAAACUGGCGUUCUUGAGUGGGCGAGAGGUAUGCGGAAUGCGUGGUGUAGCGGUGAAAUGCAUAGAUAUCACGCAGAACUCCGAUUGCGAAGGCAGCAUACCGGCGCCCAACUGACGCUGAAGCACGAAAGCGUGGGUAUCGAACAGGAUUAGAUACCCUUGUAGUC